ACCUCCACCCAUACGGCCAUUUCAGUUGCCACCGCCGACUCGGCGCCGCCCCUGUCCUCCGCAUUGACGUCGCGCCGCCCCUUGCCUUUCCCCUCGCCUCGCCGCCUCACCGCCUCACGUCGACCCCUGCCGCCCCGGCGCUAGGUUUCCGCUGGCACAACCGACGCCGCACCGGACGCCGCAAUAGCCCGCCGGCGCUAGGUUCCCCUCGACAAACGAUGCCGCCGGUGAGCCUCUACAACGAAUUGUGUUUGUACUGGUCCGUAAGAUGUUGUAUUCAAUUAGCCAUUGGAAGGACCCAUCGCGUGAAGAACAGAGCUGCCACAGUUUGGUAUUUGACCACCAGCUGCUGCCGAUUCCGCCAUUGUUCGUCGUCGAUAACCCGAUGCAAACCAUAGUUCCUAGCAAUAAAAACCAGUGGAAGCCUUAUGUUAGCCCUUGCCGAUAAUCUCCUCCAUGGCAGGCAGCUCGCUCAUCAUCCCUUCAGCCUGCUAUUUUGUUCAUAUUCGUCCUCACUGAAGUCUUCUGUUGUGUAAGUUUGUCCCCCAUUCACUACUUGUUUUGAUUUUCUUGGUGCCCGUGGAUUGCCCGUAUUAAGAUAUAUGGGAAUUGUCAAAUGUGUGUCAUGAUAUUCACAUCAUAGUAAACUAUAGUAACAUAGUGUCUGACUUACAGGGUCUUGCCUUGCCCCUGAACCUCCCAUUAAUAUUUUGUUCAAAAUGUUACACUUUAUUGAUUUGUCAAAUCAACUUGGGUUCACAAAUCUUUGUGGCUGAUGGCCAGGCUUGCAUUGCAUAUUUUGUGGCUUAGUUGCAUAGCACUAAACCUGCACCUGGUCAACAGGAUUUGAUUAGGCACUGCAAAGUUGAGUAUACGAUGCUAAUUUUUUUGCCAGGAUCAUUCUAGUCAUGGCUAAUUGUAAAAUAUUCAUAUUUUAUGCCAUCCCACCCUCUGUCCAAACAAAAAUGCAUUUAUCUAUUUGCAAAUAGAAAAUCUCCAUGAUUUUGAGUACACACACAUACUAACAUACUAUUUAUGCUUUCAUGUACAUCAUUAUUUACGACUAGGAAAAUUCCCCUCAUGCUAUAGGUUGCAUAGAUUCAAAAUGUUUAUGUCCAUAGAUGGCAUUAUUUCUGACCUAGCUUGUCAGUCAUAAAUAGUCAUGGCUUUUAUGAUUCGGCUAAAGGCAGGCCCGGCAGCUGCCUGCUACUAUCUCCUCAUUGGGCGUCCUGUCAUCGGAGACACUGGUGGGAUCGCUGGACUGCUCAUUCCCCUUCCCCUGUUCGUCUUUGUUGCAGCUCGAUCCUAAGAUUUGAACUUCAUAUAUAUGUGCGGUUCAAUGGAGAAUUUGUUUGGUGAUACAAGUGAUACAACCUAUAUGUGCACUUAUGUUUUCCUUGACCUGUGUACAUUUAACCGUGAAAUGUGUUGAAAUGCCUUUUGGAUCAAACCUUCUUUGACAUUUUCUGUCAUUUUUUUGCCUGAAUCUCCUUUAUGUGGCAGAAUAGCCCAUCGUCAGCAGUUUUUGUUAUACUUUGUCUGAAUGGUAACUUCAAUGCGGUCAUAUGGCCACUUGAGCCGCUGUCAAUGAAACAUUGAAACUUACUUGACCUGCACAUGUCUAUUUUACUGUACAAAUAUAAUGUCUUUUGUUGAUGCGGGGUUCUGUCGUAGGUCUAUUUAUUCUUGCCUGACGAUAGAGUAUGAGCCUGUAGAGAUUUGUUCAGAUUUGUUUCACUCAUCUUUGUUCAGAUUUGUUUGCUAAGAAGCUACCCUUACCCAGAAAGUUCAGAUGCAUAAUUGUUAUAAUUUUGUGAUCUAUAUUGGCCAAAAGAAGCUAUUGAUCUAUAUUGCAUAUUUAAACGGGCUGUUUCUCUCUUUUUUUUUUUGCAUUCAACUACAGUUGCAGCUGGACUGCAUGAGCUCAGUCAAGCUGCUGAAAAAGCCAUAUGAUGCAAAGCCCUCGAUAGCGACCACACCAUGUGAUGCAUCCAAUGCCAGUGGUUGGCGUGGUUGCAGCAGCUUAUCAUGGCUGGCAACCCAACCCACCGAUUGAACUAAAUCCUUUUUUUUCACAUGGUUGCAAAGUAUGAGCUCAGUACAAAAGAUACGCUAAUUAGAAUGUGUCAUCAGAUUUGCAAUUAAUUCUUGGAGGAGCGUGUGAACAUUAGAUUCAGAAUGCUCUUCUAUUAGGAUGUUACAUCUUCCAUACGAUCACUCAAAGUAGAAUUCUCCAUUCAGAUCAAUGCCAAGUUCAUUCAGUGAAAGAAAUUUGCCACCUGGUGUGAUGCACCUCUAUGGUCCUGUCAUUUGUUUACAGGAUUUAUCAUUUUUCGCUAAUUUUGAAUUCAAGGGGCUAAUAAGAAAAUAUGCUACUAGAGGCAGACAAAAGCUUGAUGAUGAACUAGAAGCGCCAAUCUUUUAUUUCCAGAAAACAAUAUAUGCAUUUAAAUAUUAUCUAUAAUGAAUACAACUGAACCUUGUGUUUUUUGAUCUAGCUUUAUAAAUAUGUGUUCAUGAAAUUGCUUCUCAUAAAUUAUGUUCAUGAUUCCUUAGCUACCUCUGGUAUCUCGUGAUGGUAUAAGGUUAUUAUUGAAUACUUCCUGAAACUAUAGUCUGAUCACAAACAAUGUUGUGUAAACUCCAAAAGUUAUAAUUACUAGCAAAAGUAUACAAGUGAUCCCAAUAGUGAUUCACGACAGUGGCUUAAUCUCAAAUCUUGAUCAUAAAAGGCUUAGUAUAUGACAUACGAGUUUACUAUCAUAAUAAGAAUAGUAUUCAAUUUCAAUGUUCAAAGGUUCCUAUAUUACUCCAUGGGUUGCCAAUGAAUAAUUUAUUGUAAUAACCUUAUACCUAACGUAUCUUUGCUCAUUUUUCUGCCAAAAACACAUGCAUGUGUGAUUGUAUCACAUCAUUUGCUUAAUUGCAUGGUAAAGCCAACAUGAGCUUAUAACUUUGUAUCCACAAGAAUGCCACUGAUUUGCUAGAGCUAUAUGGCAUGAUAGCGUAUUUUCAGCUCGUCUUCUGCUAAUGCUUCAGAUUAUCAUGGCCAACACUGUUUUUUCUUUUCAAUCAGAUUAUAAUAGCUAGGAAUCACAAGGUAGCAAUGCAUCCUCCUCUGCUGAUCAUGGCAGUAUCUUUGUCACUGACGCCUGCCAUGCUGUCCACAGCUGCGUUGGAGUACUCUUGCUGAUCGUGCUUGCCAUUGAUCCAUGGCCAUUCAAGGUGUCUGCAGCAUUUGAGGAAGUAUCAGCGAUGGUUGAUAGUGAUACCAGUCAGUCCAGCGAACUGAGAAUGGCACAGAUCAGCAGAACCGGAGGGCCAUCUUGAUGUGGGUUCCUGAGAAAAAUGAAGUAGCAGAGUGUACAAAAUAGUCAAUGAAAAAGCAAAUGUACUAGUUUUAUAAACGUGAUCAUGUAGACAGUUUAUACACGGUUAAUGGAAUAUCAAGUUGUACUCAAUUUUUGUGAUUAAAUUCGAGAU
Setaria italica (foxtail millet) is the source of this 3483-nucleotide long non-coding RNA. RefSeq lists it as uncharacterized. The transcript has 3 exons. Lineage: Eukaryota; Viridiplantae; Streptophyta; Magnoliopsida; Poales; Poaceae. The record is from RefSeq and is a predicted model, not a curated record.